RNAcentral lists this ribosomal RNA (613 nucleotides) under uncultured bacterium. RNAcentral's name for it is "bacterial SSU rRNA". It matches the Rfam family "Bacterial small subunit ribosomal RNA", at positions 154 to 762 of the family's 1533-position model. The record is from RNAcentral.
AAAGGAACGCUAAUACCGCAUACGUCCUACGGGAGAAAGCAGGGGACCUUCGGGCCUUGCGCUAUCAGAUGAGCCUAGGUCGGAUUAGCUAGUUGGUGAGGUAAUGGCUCACCAAGGCGACGAUCCGUAACUGGUCUGAGAGGAUGAUCAGUCACACUGGAACUGAGACACGGUCCAGACUCCUACGGGAGGCAGCAGUGGGGAAUAUUGGACAAUGGGCGAAAGCCUGAUCCAGCCAUGCCGCGUGUGUGAAGAAGGUCUUCGGAUUGUAAAGCACUUUAAGUUGGGAGGAAGGGUUGUAGAUUAAUACUCUGCAAUUUUGACGUUACCGACAGAAUAAGCACCGGCUAACUCUGUGCCAGCAGCCGCGGUAAUACAGAGGGUGCAAGCGUUAAUCGGAAUUACUGGGCGUAAAGCGCGCGUAGGUGGUUUGUUAAGUUGGAUGUGAAAUCCCCGGGCUCAACCUGGGAACUGCAUCCAAAACUGGCAAGCUAGAGUAUGGUAGAGGGUGGUGGAAUUUCCUGUGUAGCGGUGAAAUGCGUAGAUAUAGGAAGGAACACCAGUGGCGAAGGCGACCACCUGGACUGAUACUGACACUGAGGUGCGAAAGCGU